This 834-nucleotide ribosomal RNA is filed under the name Triticum aestivum (bread wheat). RNAcentral's name for it is "partial small subunit ribosomal RNA". Lineage: Eukaryota; Viridiplantae; Streptophyta; Magnoliopsida; Poales; Poaceae. The record is from RNAcentral.
AUGGAGCUCCAGCCGGUGCGCGGCCGCAGCCCGGUGCGCCAGGGCUCGCCGCGGGCUGCGCGCAGGCGCUCCCAGGCGAGUCUCACGCCGCCGGUCUCGCCUCCACUCUCCCCCACGUCAGUGUUGCCAAGGCGUGCACUCUCCAGGAGGGAGGAGGCUCGGGCUACGGCAACCCCUUUGGCGGCCCCGAGCUCGGAGAUGCUUAGGCUGUGCUCGCCCACGAGUCUGCUCCCGCCUUUAUCUCCGGUGAAGCCCCCGGGGUUCGAGGCCUCGCCCACGCCUCCACUCAUCUCCGUUGGGCCGCUUCUGCGCACACCCUCACCGGUGCGACACCGUAGGGCUGCCGCGGACCUGCAGCCGGCGGGUGUUGGCCUGGCUCUGUUGUUCGAAGAAAGGCAGGAGCCCCUGCUGCCCUCCCCUGCAUCAACGCCUCCAAGACCCCCUGCUGCGCGCCGCAAGACCCUUGCUGGGGUGAACAUAGUCAGGACAAGCGCUGGGCUCUCCCUGCACAGAGCCGGUGCGAGACUAAAAGCUGCUGGCAAAUCCAGGAUGCCGCCGGCGCCAGCGGCCAAGGCGGCUGAGAUCUUGGUUUGUCGUAGUCUGGGAAUCGUCAAGGACGGAGAAGACAUCACAACCGCGGCUCUGGAUGUAUUUGCAGAGCGUUUCAAGGAGAAGCUGCCACAAGAAGUGAUCUCAGCCAUGCGGGAUUUAUUCAAGCUUGAUGAUGUGCAAGCUACAGACGUUGAGGACGCACUCAUCCAGCAUGGUGGAGCGGGUGCCAUGGAUGUGGAGAGGAUGGAGGACGCUGCUGCUGCUCUGCAGGCGUUCAAUUGA